Molecule: non-coding RNA, 24 nt
Filed under: Cricetulus griseus (Chinese hamster)
Lineage: Eukaryota; Metazoa; Chordata; Mammalia; Rodentia; Cricetidae
Source: RNAcentral
AGGGAUUAAGAACUUGACUCCUCU